GAUGAACGCUGGCGGCGUGCCUAAUACAUGCAAGUCGAGCGAACGGACGAGAAGCUUGCUUCUCUGAUGUUAGCGGCGGACGGGUGAGUAACACGUGGAUAACCUACCUAUAAGACUGGGAUAACUUCGGGAAACCGGAGCUAAUACCGGAUAAUAUUUUGAACCGCAUGGUUCAAAAGUGAAAGACGGUCUUGCUGUCACUUAUAGAUGGAUCCGCGCUGCAUUAGCUAGUUGGUAAGGUAACGGCUUACCAAGGCAACGAUGCAUAGCCGACCUGAGAGGGUGAUCGGCCGCACUGGAACUGAGACACGGUCCGGAGUCCUACGGGAGGCAGCAGUAGGGAAUCUUCCGCAAUGGGCGAAAGCCUGACGGAGCAACGCCGCGUGAGUGAUGAAGGUCUUCGGAUCGUAAAACUCUGUUAUUAGGGAAGAACAUAUGUGUAAGUAACUGUGCACAUCUUGACGGUACCUAAUCAGAAAGCCACGGCUAACUACGUG
Molecule: ribosomal RNA, 497 nt
Filed under: uncultured bacterium
Lineage: Bacteria
Description: partial 16S ribosomal RNA
Rfam family: Bacterial small subunit ribosomal RNA
Source: RNAcentral